CAGUCGCCGCGGUAAUACGGAGGGUGCAAGCGUUAAUCGGAAUUACUGGGCGUAAAGCGUGCGUAGGCGGUUCGUUAAGUCUGUUGUGAAAGCCCCGGGCUCAACCUGGGAAUGGCAAUGGAUACUGGCGAGCUAGAGUGUGUCAGAGGAUGGUGGAAUUCCCGGUGUAGCGGUGAAAUGCGUAGAGAUCGGGAGGAACAUCAGUGGCGAAGGCGGCCAUCUGGGACAACACUGACGCUGAGGCACGAAAGCGUGGGGAGCAAACAGGAUUAGAUACCCCAGUAGUCCCUGUCUCUUAUAC
This 301-nucleotide ribosomal RNA is filed under the name uncultured bacterium. RNAcentral describes it as "partial 16S ribosomal RNA". It matches the Rfam family "Bacterial small subunit ribosomal RNA", at positions 509 to 807 of the family's 1533-position model. The record is from RNAcentral.